GGGAGGAAGGCAGUGUCGUUAAUAGCGGCAUUGUUUGACGUUACCUACAGAAGAAGCACCGGCUAACUCCGUGCCAGCAGCCGCGGUAAUACGGAGGGUGCGAGCGUUAAUCGGAAUUACUGGGCGUAAAGCGCAUGCAGGCGGUCUGUUAAGCAAGAUGUGAAAGCCCGGGGCUCAACCUCGGAACAGCAUUUUGAACUGGCAGACUAGAGUCUUGUAGAGGGGGGUAGAAUUUCAGGUGUAGCGGUGAAAUGCGUAGAGAUCUGAAGGAAUACCGGUGGCGAAGGCGGCCCCCUGGACAAAGACUGACGCUCAGAUGCGAAAGCGUGGGGAGCAAACAGGAUUAGAUACCCUGGUAGUCCACGCCGUAAACGAUGUCUACUUGGAGGUUGUGGCCUUGAGCCGUGGCUUUCGGAGCUAACGCGUUAAGUAGACCGCCUGGGGAGUACGGUCGCAAGAUUAAAACUCAAAUGAAUUGACGGGGGCCCGCACAAGCGGUGGAGCAUGUGGUUUAAUUCGAUGCAACGCGAAGAACCUUACCUACUCUUGACAUCCAGAGAACUU
RNAcentral lists this ribosomal RNA (564 nucleotides) under Photobacterium leiognathi. RNAcentral describes it as "bacterial SSU rRNA". It matches the Rfam family "Bacterial small subunit ribosomal RNA", at positions 442 to 998 of the family's 1533-position model. Lineage: Bacteria; Pseudomonadati; Pseudomonadota; Gammaproteobacteria; Vibrionales; Vibrionaceae. The record is from RNAcentral.